CUAUAUAAAUUUUACUUUUGUGCAGUAGGGCUAGUGGUUUCACCCAUUCAUACACUCUCUCUAUCCUCUAGCCAAACAAGCAAAGAGGCAUAGGCCUGAGAAGCCAAACGCCCAGGCUGAGAAGCAGGGGCACUGACAGUGUGUGGCGUGAGGAGAAUUCUGGGAGCCAGAUAGAGGUCUGGAAUUUGGAAACUUGCAUCAGAUCAUGAAAGGGCACCAGUAAGAACUGAAGUGAAUCAAUUAAGCUUGUUUCUAUGAAGCCUGCAUUGGAAUCUGAUGGUCUGAAUGUCUGAAUGCCUACCUGAACGUUAAGAUCCUCUUCUGAAGCCCUGCAACAGGUGUCCCCAGUACUGAAUGACUGCCACCCUGGAUAACCACCAGAGAAAGGACCUUUUAAAUCCCAGCACCUCAGUUGUGGAGCAGGCUUCCCAAGCAUGAUUGCCUGGGGCAAUCCUUCUUGUGUUUCUGGUGCCUAGUGAAUACCUUUUUGUUCACACAAGGCCUCUUAAAUGGCCUCCAUUUUUCAUUGUUCAGUUUGGGGGUGCAGUGAGUUUUUGUUUUCUUGUGGUACUUUAGUAAUUUUUAAUCUGAUGUAUUUGUGAUUAUUCUGUAUUUAAAUUAUUUUUACUUACUUACUGUAAACUGCCCAGAAAAUUUAAUAUGAGGUGACACACAAAUGCCACACACAAAUAAACAAGCUCAUUUUUUAAUCUAUUUAGGCUGAAAUCCUGUACCCACUAACCUAGGAAUGGGCCCUAUUGAAUUCAAUGGGCAUAUCUCUAGCUCUGCAUGACCUAAACCCAGGCACUAAUUAAGAAUUCACUGUGUAGUUACAGUACACACAUCUAUUCAGAAGCCUCUUUGUAUUUAAAGGGGUUUACUCCCUAGUAAGUGGGUUCACAACCUAAUCUUUGGUUUAGGGUUGGCAAUGGGGGGGGGGACAGGUUAAGCAUUUUCUAUUUGGAAAUUUAUGGGGGAAAUGUCACCAUGACUGUAUUAUCGAAUUUCAUGUUAUACACUGUUCUCAUGCUCUCUCAAUAUUUGCAUAGUGCCCACUAGUCCAAAAAAGGUGUGUGACCCUUAAUUUAACUGUAUUAAUACAUUCUUCUUUUACACAUGUUUGAGGCCCUUGCAUAAUCUUUCUUCUUCCCUGUUGCAUUCUAAACCACUGUCAUGGACAACUUUUGGUUUGUAACAAACAAUUGCUUAAAGAAAAAAAUAGGAACAGUUGGAACGUGUACAGAGCACUGUGAUGUUAUACUUACUGGCUAG
This is a non-coding RNA of Podarcis muralis (Common wall lizard), 1272 nucleotides long. The record is from RefSeq and is a predicted model, not a curated record. NCBI's taxonomy places the organism in Eukaryota, Metazoa, Chordata, Lepidosauria, Squamata, Lacertidae.